UGGCGGACGGGUGAGAAACGCGUGGGUAAUCUACCCUUGGAUUUGGGAUAACUUCGCGAAAGUGGAGCUAAUACCGGAUAGUCUGGCUUUAAAUAAGAAGUCGGUAAAGGAUGCCUCUGCAUAUGCAUUCGUCCGAGGAUGAGCCCGCGUCUCAUUAGCUAGUUGGUAGGGUAAUGGCCUACCAAGGCAACGAUGAGUAGCUGGUCUGAGAGGAUGAUCAGCCACACUGGAACUGAAACACGGUCCAGACUCCUACGGGAGGCAGCAGUGGGGAAUAUUGCGCAAUGGGCGAAAGCCUGACGCAGCAACGCCGUGUGAGGGAUGAAGGCUUUCGGGUCGUAAACCUCUGUCGGAAGGGAAGAACGGGCAUUGGUCUAAUAGGCCUUUGUUUUGACGGUACCUUUAGAGGAAGCACCGGCUAACUCCGUGCCAGCAGCCGCGGUAAUA
This 447-nucleotide ribosomal RNA is filed under the name uncultured Desulfomicrobium sp. RNAcentral describes it as "bacterial SSU rRNA". It matches the Rfam family "Bacterial small subunit ribosomal RNA", at positions 96 to 525 of the family's 1533-position model. Lineage: Bacteria; Pseudomonadati; Thermodesulfobacteriota; Desulfovibrionia; Desulfovibrionales; Desulfomicrobiaceae. The record is from RNAcentral.